CCUACGGGUGGCAGCAGUGAGGAAUAUUGGUCAAUGGCCGUAAGGCUGAACCAGCCAAGUCGCGUGAAGGAAGAAGGAGCUAUGGUUUGUAAACUUCUUUUGUAGAGGAAUAAAGUUAGCCACGUGUGCAUAUUUGAAUGUACUUUAUGAAUAAGCAUCGGCUAACUCCGUGCCAGCAGCCGCGGUAAUACGGAGGAUGCGAGCGUUAUCCGGAUUUAUUGGGUUUAAAGGGUGCGUAGGUUGGUUUUUAAGUCAGCGGUGAAAGUUUGUGGCUCAACCAUAAAAUUGCCGUUGAAACUGGCAGUCUUGAGUGUGUUUGAGGUAGGCGGAAUGCGUGGUGUAGCGGUGAAAUGCUUAGAUAUCACGCAGAACUCCGAUUGCGAAGGCAGCUUACUAA
Molecule: ribosomal RNA, 397 nt
Filed under: uncultured bacterium
Lineage: Bacteria
Description: partial 16S ribosomal RNA
Rfam family: Bacterial small subunit ribosomal RNA
Source: RNAcentral